Molecule: ribosomal RNA, 252 nt
Filed under: uncultured bacterium
Lineage: Bacteria
Description: partial 16S ribosomal RNA
Rfam family: Bacterial small subunit ribosomal RNA
Source: RNAcentral
ACGGAGGGUGCAAGCGUUGUUCGGAAUUACUGGGCGUAAAGCGCGCGUAGGCGGCGCUAUAAGUCAGAUGUGAAAGUCCAUGGCUCAACCAUGGAAGUGCAUUUGAAACUGUAGUGCUUGAGUACUGGAGGGGGUAGUGGAAUUCCCGGUGUAGAGGUGAAAUUCGUAGAUAUCGGGAGGAAUACCGGUGGCGAAGGCGACUACCUGGCCAGAUACUGACGCUGAGGUGCGAAAGCGUGGGGAGCAAACAGG